RNAcentral lists this non-coding RNA (183 nucleotides) under Nostoc sp. PCC 7107. RNAcentral describes it as "6S / SsrS RNA". It matches the Rfam family "6S / SsrS RNA". Rfam says of the family: E. coli 6S RNA was the first non coding RNA to be sequenced, but its function was unknown until recently. It consists of 184 nucleotides that fold into an extended hairpin structure with a large single-stranded internal bulge. Lineage: Bacteria; Bacillati; Cyanobacteriota; Cyanophyceae; Nostocales; Nostocaceae. The record is from Rfam by way of RNAcentral.
GUUGCACUGCGACGUUGGUGACUGCCAUCAAGUUUUUUGAUCUAUGUCUUUAAAGAAAAGGGAACCAACAGUUAUCGUGGCAGUAGACCGGGCAUGUACCCGGAAACUUUAAACGAGCAACAGCGGUACCCACCUGGUUUAACCAGGUCAUAAACUUAGGUAAAACGGCGUUGCGGUGAACUU